UGGCUCAGGAUGAACGCUAGCUACAGGCUUAACACAUGCAAGUCGAGGGGCAUCAGGAUGUAGCAAUACAUUGCUGGCGACCGGCGCACGGGUGAGUAACACGUAUCCAACCUGCCUUUUACUCGGGGAUAGGCUUUCGAAAGAAAGAUUAAUACCCGAUGGCAUAAUAUUUCCGCAUGGGAUUAUUAUUAAAGAAUUUCGGUAAAAGAUGGGGAUGCGUUCCAUUAGGCAGUUGGCGGGGUAACGGCCCACCAAACCUUCGAUGGAUAGGGGUUCUGAGAGGAAGGUCCCCCACAUUGGAACUGAGACACGGUCCAAACUCCUACGGGAGGCAGCAGUGAGGAAUAUUGGUCAAUGGGCGAGAGCCUGAACCAGCCAAGUAGCGUGAAGGAUGACUGCCCUAUGGGUUGUAAACUUCUUUUAUAAAGGAAUAAAGUCGGGUAUGGAUACCCGUUUGCAUGUACUUUAUGAAUAAGGAUCGGCUAACUCCGUGCCAGCAGCCGCGGUAAUACGGAGGAUCCGAGCGUUAUCCGGAUUUAUUGGGUUUAAAGGGAGCGUAGAUGGAUGUUUAAGUCAGUUGUGAAAGUUUGCGGCUCAACCGUAAAAUUGCAGUUGAUACUGGAUAUCUUGAGUGCAGUUGAGGCAGGCGGAAUUCGUGGUGUAGCGGUGAAAUGCUUAGAUAUCACGAAGAACUCCGAUUGCGAAGGCAGCCUGCUAAGCUGCAACUGACAUUGAGGCUCGAAAGUGUGGGUAUCAAACAGGAUUAGAUACCCUGGUAGUCCACACGGUAAACGAUGAAUACUCGCUGUUUGCGAUAUACAGCAAGCGGCCAAGCGAAAGCGUUAAGUAUUCCACCUGGGGAGUACGCCGGCAACGGUGAAACUCAAAGGAAUUGACGGGGGCCCGCACAAGCGGAGGAACAUGUGGUUUAAUUCGAUGAUACGCGAGGAACCUUACCCGGGCUUAAAUUGCAUUUGAAUGUUGGGGAAACCCAACAGCCGUAAGGCAAAUGUGAAGGUGCUGCAUGGUUGUCGUCAGCUCGUGCCGUGAGGUGUCGGCUUAAGUGCCAUAACGAGCGCAACCCUUAUCUUUAGUUACUAACAGGUUAUGCUGAGGACUCUAGAGAGACUGCCGUCGUAAGAUGUGAGGAAGGUGGGGAUGACGUCAAAUCAGCACGGCCCUUACGUCCGGGGCUACACACGUGUUACAAUGGGGGGUACAGAAGGCAGCUACCUGGUGACAGGAUGCUAACCCCAAAAGCCUCUCUCAGUUCGGAUCGAAGUCUGCAACCCGACUUCGUGAAGCUGGAUUCGCUAGUAAUCGCGCAUCAGCCACGGCGCGGUGAAUACGUUCCCGGGCCUUGUACACACCGCCCGUCAAGCCAUGGGAGCCGGGGGUACCUGAAGUACGUAACCGCAAGGAGCGUCCUAGGGUAAAACUGGUGA
Molecule: ribosomal RNA, 1445 nt
Filed under: uncultured organism
Description: SSU rRNA
Rfam family: Bacterial small subunit ribosomal RNA
Source: RNAcentral